Molecule: ribosomal RNA, 278 nt
Filed under: uncultured bacterium
Lineage: Bacteria
Description: partial 16S ribosomal RNA
Rfam family: Bacterial small subunit ribosomal RNA
Source: RNAcentral
UGCCAGCCGCCGCGGUAAUACGAAGGGGGCUAGCGUUGUUCGGAAUCACUGGGCGUAAAGCGUAUGUAGGCUGUACUGUAAGUUAUUUGUUAAAUCCUAAAGCUCAACUUUAGAAUAGCCUAUAAUACUACUUUACUAGAGUUUUAUUCAGAAGAGUAGAAUUCCAUGUUUAGGGAUAAGCCCCGUAGAUAUAUGGAGGAACACCUGUGGCGAAGGCGACUCUUUAGUAAAAACUGACGUUGAGGGACGAAAGUGUAGGGAGCAAACAGGAUUAGAUA